Molecule: ribosomal RNA, 739 nt
Filed under: uncultured bacterium
Lineage: Bacteria
Description: bacterial SSU rRNA
Rfam family: Bacterial small subunit ribosomal RNA
Source: RNAcentral
AGAGUUUGAUCCUGGCUCAGAACGAACGCUGGCGGCAGGCUUAACACAUGCAAGUCGAACGCACCGCAAGGUGAGUGGCAGACGGGUGAGUAACGCGUGGGAACGUGCCCUUCAGUUCGGGAUAACCCAGGGAAACUUGGGCUAAUACCGGAUACGUGCGAGAGCAGAAAGAUUCAUCGCUGAAGGAUCGGCCCGCGUCUGAUUAGCUAGUUGGUAGGGUAAUGGCCUACCAAGGCGACGAUCAGUAGCUGGUCUGAGAGGAUGAUCAGCCACAUUGGGACUGAGACACGGCCCAAACUCCUACGGGAGGCAGCAGUGGGGAAUAUUGGACAAUGGGCGCAAGCCUGAUCCAGCCAUGCCGCGUGAGUGAUGAAGGCCUUAGGGUUGUAAAGCUCUUUCGUCCGGGACGAUAAUGACGGUACCGGAAGAAGAAGCCCCGGCUACUUCGUGCCAGCAGCCGCGGUAAUACGAAGGGGGCUAGCGUUGUUCGGAAUCACUGGGCGUAAAGGGCGCGUAGGCGGCCUGAUAAGUCGGGGGUGAAAGCCUGUGGCUCAACCACAGAAUUGCCUUCGAUACUGUCGGGCUUGAGACCGGAAGAGGUAAGUGGAACUGCGAGUGUAGAGGUGAAAUUCGUAGAUAUUCGCAAGAACACCAGUGGCGAAGGCGGCUUACUGGUCCGGUUCUGNNGCUGAGGCGCGAAAGCGUGGGGAGCAAACAGGAUUAGAUACCCUAGUAGUCC